This 342-nucleotide unclassified non-coding RNA is filed under the name soil metagenome. RNAcentral describes it as "partial contains 5.8S ribosomal RNA, internal transcribed spacer 2, and large subunit ribosomal RNA". The stretch from base 1 to 120 matches the Rfam family "5.8S ribosomal RNA", at positions 35 to 154 of the family's 154-position model. The record is from RNAcentral.
GAUGAAGAACGCAGCGAAAUGCGAUAAGUAGUGUGAAUUGCAGAAUUCAGUGAAUCAUCGAAUCUUUGAACGCACAUUGCGGCCAUAGGUAUUCCUUUGGCCAUGCCUGUUCGAGCGUCAUUUACACCCUCAAGCCUAGCUUGGUGUUGGGCGCCUGUCCCGCCGUUUUCGCGCGCGGACUCGCCUCAAAGUCAUUGGCGGCGGUCGUGCCGGCCCCCUCGCGCAGCACAUUUGCGCUUCUCGGAGGCCCGGCGGAUCCGCGCUCCAGCAAGACCUUUCACGACUUGACCUCGGAUCAGGUAGGGAUACCCGCUGAACUUAAGCAUAUCAAUAAGCGGAGGA